AGCAGCCGCGGGUAAUUCCAGCUCCAAUAGCGUAUAUUAAAGUUGUUGCAGUUAAAAAGCUCGUAGUUGAAUUUCGGGGUUAGUAGGCUGGUCGUGCCACAGGUAUGCACUGGUCUUACUGAUUCCUCCUUCCUGAUGAACCGUAAUGCCAUUAAUUUGGUGUUGCGGGGAGUCUGGACUGUUACUUUGAAAAAAUUAGAGUGUUUAAAGCAGGCUAACGCUUGAAUACAUUAGCAUGGAAUAACGAAAUAGGACGUUCGAUCCUAUUUUGUUGGUUUCUAGGAUUGACGUAAUGAUUAAUAGGGAUAGUUGGGGGCAUUAGUAUUCAAUUGUCAGAGGUGAAAUUCUUGGAUUUAUUGAAGACUAACUACUGCGAAAGCAUUUGCCAAGGAUGUUUUCAUUAAUCAAGAACGAAAGUUAGGGGAUCGAAGACGAUCAGAUACCGUCGUAGUCUUAACCAUAAACUAUGCCGACUAGGGAUCGGAUGAUGUUAAUUUUUUAAUGACUCAUUCGGCGCCUUACG
This 523-nucleotide ribosomal RNA is filed under the name uncultured Glomus. RNAcentral's name for it is "SSU rRNA". It matches the Rfam family "Eukaryotic small subunit ribosomal RNA", at positions 569 to 1092 of the family's 1831-position model. Lineage: Eukaryota; Fungi; Glomeromycota; Glomeromycetes; Glomerales; Glomeraceae. The record is from RNAcentral.